This 444-nucleotide ribosomal RNA is filed under the name uncultured Escherichia sp. RNAcentral's name for it is "bacterial SSU rRNA". It matches the Rfam family "Bacterial small subunit ribosomal RNA", at positions 29 to 469 of the family's 1533-position model. Lineage: Bacteria; Pseudomonadati; Pseudomonadota; Gammaproteobacteria; Enterobacterales; Enterobacteriaceae. The record is from RNAcentral.
AUGAACGCUGGCGGCAGGCCUAACACAUGCAAGUCGAACGGUAACAGGAAGCAGCUUGCUGCUUCGCUGACGAGUGGCGGACGGGUGAGUAAUGUCUGGGAAACUGCCUGAUGGAGGGGGAUAACUACUGGAAACGGUAGCUAAUACCGCAUAACGUCGCAAGACCAAAGAGGGGGACCUUCGGGCCUCUUGCCAUCGGAUGUGCCCAGAUGGGAUUAGCUAGUAGGUGGGGUAACGGCUCACCUAGGCGACGAUCCCUAGCUGGUCUGAGAGGAUGACCAGCCACACUGGAACUGAGACACGGUCCAGACUCCUACGGGAGGCAGCAGUGGGGAAUAUUGCACAAUGGGCGCAAGCCUGAUGCAGCCAUGCCGCGUGUAUGAAGAAGGCCUUCGGGUUGUAAAGUACUUUCAGCGGGGAGGAAGGGAGUAAAGUUAAUACCUU